Molecule: transfer RNA, 88 nt
Filed under: Candidatus Cloacimonadota bacterium
Lineage: Bacteria; Pseudomonadati; Candidatus Cloacimonadota
Also listed under: 1 other name
Description: tRNA-Leu
Rfam family: tRNA
About the family: Transfer RNA (tRNA) molecules are approximately 80 nucleotides in length. Their secondary structure includes four short double-helical elements and three loops (D, anti-codon, and T loops).
Source: RNAcentral
GCCGGAGUGGUGGAAUUGGUAGACACAAGGGACUUAAAAUCCCUCGGAAUUUUAUUCCGUGCCGGUUCAAGUCCGGCCUCUGGUACCA